AGUCCAGCCUCUCCAAAUUUGUCAUAUAUGGAUUGUUUCUCAUCAUCUGAUAACACCUGUUGUGAGAGUGAGAGGAGAAGGCAUUGACGAAGGGGAGAAAGAGAGAGAAAGGAGAAACCUUUUUGGCUCGCAAGAUUUUUCCUGGCAAAAUGCAUUGCGCAUAAUCAUCAAAUCCCAGCAACUCGCUAGCCUUGCAAUUCGUCAUUCCCAAAUCAC
This 216-nucleotide long non-coding RNA is filed under the name Vigna radiata. Its description in RNAcentral is "long non-coding RNA (VRAD_LNC000332)". Lineage: Eukaryota; Viridiplantae; Streptophyta; Magnoliopsida; Fabales; Fabaceae. The record is from RNAcentral.